This 253-nucleotide ribosomal RNA is filed under the name uncultured bacterium. Its description in RNAcentral is "partial 16S ribosomal RNA". It matches the Rfam family "Bacterial small subunit ribosomal RNA", at positions 524 to 776 of the family's 1533-position model. The record is from RNAcentral.
UACGAAGGGGGCUAGCGUUGUUCGGAAUUACUGGGCGUAAAGCGCACGUAGGCGGACAUUUAAGUCAGGGGUGAAAUCCCGGGGCUCAACCCCGGAACUGCCUUUGAUACUGGGUGUCUCGAGUCCGGAAGAGGUGAGUGGAAUUCCGAGUGUAGAGGUGAAAUUCGUAGAUAUUCGGAGGAACACCAGUGGCGAAGGCGGCUCACUGGUCCGGUACUGACGCUGAGGUGCAAAAGCGUGGGGAGCAAACAGG